UCUUCCCUCUUUCUUCGUGCUUAACACAUGCAAGUCGAACGGUGAAGGCGGAGCUUGCUCUGCUGGAUCAGUGGCGAACGGGUGAGUAACACGUGAGCAAUCUGCCCCUGACUCUGGGAUAAGCGCUGGAAACGGCGUCUAAUACUGGAUACGAGCUGCGAAGGCAUCUUCAGCAGCUGGAAAGAACUUCGGUCAGGGAUGAGCUCGCGGCCUAUCAGCUUGUUGGUGAGGUAACGGCUCACCAAGGCGUCGCCGGGUAGCCGGCCUGAGAGGGUGACCGGCCACACUGGGACUGAGACACGGCCCAGACUCCUACGGGAGGCAGCAGUGGGGAAUAUUGCACAAUGGGCGAAAGCCUGAUGCAGCAACGCCGCGUGAGGGACGACGGCCUUCGGGUUGUAAACCUCUUUUAGCAGGGAAGAAGCGAAAGUGACGGUACCUGCAGAAAAAGCGCCGGCUAACUACGUG
RNAcentral lists this ribosomal RNA (468 nucleotides) under uncultured bacterium. RNAcentral describes it as "partial 16S ribosomal RNA". It matches the Rfam family "Bacterial small subunit ribosomal RNA", at positions 36 to 507 of the family's 1533-position model. The record is from RNAcentral.